This 365-nucleotide ribosomal RNA is filed under the name uncultured bacterium. RNAcentral's name for it is "bacterial SSU rRNA". It matches the Rfam family "Bacterial small subunit ribosomal RNA", at positions 527 to 890 of the family's 1533-position model. The record is from RNAcentral.
GAGCCGGACAAACGUUAUUCGGAAUUAUUGGGCUUAAAGGGUGCGUAGGCGGCGCGGUAAGUGAGGUGUGAAAUCCCUCGGCUCAACCGAGGAAUUGCGCUUCAUACUGCCGUGCUUGAGGGAGAUAGAGGCGAGCGGAACUGAUGGUGGAGCGGUGAAAUGCGUUGAUAUCAUCAGGAACACCAGCGGCGAAAGCGGCUCGCUGGGUCUCUUCUGACGCUGAAGUACGAAAGCUAGGGGAGCGAACGGGAUUAGAUACCCCGGUAGUCCUAGCUGUAAACGAUGAGCACUUGACUGAGGAUCCCCCCAUAGGUUCUUGGUCGUAGCGAAAGUGUUAAGUGCUCCGCCUGGGGAGUAUGGUCGCA